RNAcentral lists this long non-coding RNA (353 nucleotides) under Bos taurus (domestic cattle). Its description in RNAcentral is "long non-coding RNA NONBTAT021752". Lineage: Eukaryota; Metazoa; Chordata; Mammalia; Artiodactyla; Bovidae. The record is from RNAcentral.
GUUCACUGUCUUAUAUAAGACAAUGAACUUUUAACAUAAUUGCCUAUAGAGUAAAUUGGUGAAUUUCACCCUUCAGUGUUUAUGGUAGUAUGUACCUGGUGGCCCGUUUAGUGAAUUGUUUAAAGGAACUUUUAACCAUCAGGGGUUAUCCUAGAUUCCCCAAGCCUAAGAUUCAGCUCUAUUGUAUUUCAUUGAAUGCCCUAAAUUUUCUAAGACACUUCAUAAAAAAGUUUCCAGACCACGUGAAUGGGAAAUGCUUAUAUGAUCAUGUCUAGCAUUGUCCUAGGCUUGCUUACUGGUAAAUUCAGAAUCAUUUUUCAUAAUGAAAUGUAGUUUGCUUCUGAAGCCUUUGG